This 614-nucleotide ribosomal RNA is filed under the name Aschersonia sp. Jos009. RNAcentral describes it as "eukaryotic LSU rRNA". It matches the Rfam family "Eukaryotic large subunit ribosomal RNA", at positions 38 to 667 of the family's 3401-position model. The record is from RNAcentral. Lineage: Eukaryota; Fungi; Ascomycota; Sordariomycetes; Hypocreales; Clavicipitaceae.
GCAUAUCAAUAAGCGGAGGAAAAGAAACCAACAGGGAUUGCCCCAGUAACGGCGAGUGAAGCGGCAACAGCUCAAAUUUGAAAUCUGGCCCCCCCCGGGGGGCCCGAGUUGUAAUUUGCAGAGGAUGCUUUGGGCGAGGCGCCUUCCGAGUUCCCUGGAACGGGACGCCACAGAGGGUGAGAGCCCCGUCUGGUCGGACGCCGAGCCUCUGUAAAGCUCCUUCGACGAGUCGAGUAGUUUGGGAAUGCUGCUCAAAAUGGGAGGUAUAUGUCUUCUAAAGCUAAAUACCGGCCAGAGACCGAUAGCGCACAAGUAGAGUGAUCGAAAGAUGAAAAGCACCUUGAAAAGGGGGUUAAACAGUACGUGAAAUUGUUGAAAGGGAAGCGCUCGUGACCAGACUUGGGGCGGGCGGAUCAGCCGGCGUUCUCGCCGACGCACUCCGCCCGUCCCAGGCCAGCAUCAGUUCGCGCCGGGGGACAAAGGCGGCGGGAACGUGGCUCCCCAGGGAGUGUUAUAGCCCGCCGCGCCAUGCCCCGGGGGCGGACUGAGGGCCGCGCAUCACUGCAAGGAUGCUGGCGUAAUGGUCACCAGCGACCCGUCUUGAAACACGGACC